AUUUUUCUCUCGGGUUUAAUUCUCCCGAAACCCCAAACCCUCAGGCCUCAGUUUCUCUUUCCUCUCGUUCUGUUUCUCCUAUCUCCUCCUCUUGCCUUUGCUGCUGCUCCGCUACUAGCCCUGCCUUGGCCGGCGCUUCCCAGCUCGCCGGAGAUUCGUCGUCUCCCACCGCAAGCUAGCGGUGUUGCUCCCUGCCUUUUUCUCUCUCCUCUGCUGUGUUGCAUGCUGCUGCUGUUGCUCUGUGGCGGCGUUGCUGGUGCUGCCACCGUGCAUGGGUACUCUGUAUUUCUAUCUCCCCUUGUUUGUGAUUGUGUGUUGUUGUUGGUGUCGUUGUUGCUUCGUGGAGCCCAGAAUCUCCGAUUGUGGUGGCGAAUCGCUCGAGUUUGCCCGUCGUGAGGAGAUGAGUCUGUUGGGAAAGAUGUUCCUAAUCGUGAAGGUAAUACAGGAGAUGAGUCUGUUAGUGAUUAUAUGGCUGAUUUUGUAAUAAGGCGUCCAACUAGGAGUAAGAAGAAUACUCUUGCAGGAAGGGAUAAAGGUCCAUUGAGGACAUGUAACAGUCAAUCUAUUAGUGAAGCUGAAGAGGAGUACAAUCCUCAUAAAAGACGUCGGGAUUCUGAAAGUACUCUUUCGAAGCCAGCUGGGAAAAAGGAGACUAAUCGUGAAGGUAAUACAAGAGAUGAGUUUGUUGGGAAAGAUGUUCCUAUGAUCCUUGAGGAGGAUAUAGCUGAUCUUGUAAUAAGGCGUCCAACUAGGAGUAAGAAAAAUACUCUCGCAG
Molecule: long non-coding RNA, 775 nt
Organism: Beta vulgaris subsp. vulgaris (sugar beet)
Lineage: Eukaryota; Viridiplantae; Streptophyta; Magnoliopsida; Caryophyllales; Amaranthaceae
Exons: 3
Source: RefSeq, a predicted model, not a curated record